GGCCUCUUAGCUCAGUUGGCUAGAGCGUUGGCUCUACUAAAGCCUUUCACUUGCUGGCAUGGGUUAGAAUCCUACCGAGGCCA
Molecule: non-coding RNA, 83 nt
Organism: Schistocephalus solidus
Lineage: Eukaryota; Metazoa; Platyhelminthes; Cestoda; Diphyllobothriidea; Diphyllobothriidae
Source: Rfam